This is a non-coding RNA of Equus caballus (horse), 1600 nucleotides long. Lineage: Eukaryota; Metazoa; Chordata; Mammalia; Perissodactyla; Equidae. The record is from RefSeq and is a predicted model, not a curated record.
GGAUCCAAACCAGGGAACCCCGGGCUGCCGAAUCGUGUGUGCACUUAACUGCUGAGCCCCCGGGCGGGCCCGGAAUGCAUUGAGUUUUUAACUGAAAUAGGCACCAAGGCCAUAGACGAGAAUGACGAAGGAGGAGGAGGCUUUCAGAAGUCUGAGGAAAGAGGAAGUUGUGAUACGGUUGUCUCAGAAAGUGCACCCUGAGAGGGAAGCCUCAGGUUUCUGCAAGCUUUCCACAGAAAAUUCCAUGUUAAGAAACCUGGCCUUGGAAAACUCAAGAUUCUUGAUUUUAAGGCAAUGACCCUAGAAGUCUGGGCCCAAAUUAAAUUUCAAUGAAGACUCUCGCAGACUUUUCUCGUGGGAGAGGACUAUGUCAAGAUGGGAAAGAUGGGCACUUGGAGGGAGAAGCUGGACUGAAUACUUGAAUGAAAGCUGAGGACUCAGGAUGACUAAUAAACAUGAGCACGUGGACAAGGCCAAGGCCAUACCAGAAUGUCACUAGAUCUUCAUCAUCUGCUUGCACAAGAGCGAUCAUCCAAGAAUCGGCAAUUCUAUUGCUAAGCCUGAGAGGAUAAUGGUAUUAUCCCUGAAAUCCAUCAGUGUCUUCAGUCCAGACCCUCGAGUCUUCAGUCCAGAGAAAACACUGCAGCACAUCCAGCUUUGAAGAGUUCUAAAAUACUACAGAACUGCAGCAUAGUUAUAUAAUAUGAGUGAACACUUACCAUGAAAAAGAUUUUCCCCAGGCAGAAAGUGUACAAUUUUUUAACUGUAUUUAGAAAUCUUCAGCUUUUUAAAUUUGCUUGUUCCCCUUUGAGCAGCCAAAUUCGAAAGAGUGUCAGCAAAAAACAAAGCUUCCUUUAAAAAAAAAGUGUUACCAUACUGUCCUUGUUGUGAAAUACUUCAUCUUUUAAAAUAACCUGCAAAGAUUCAGCAUUAACAUCACAAUAUACAGAAAUGGACGAAUAGCACUUGAGUUAUUUUGCUAUCCAAGGAAAAGCACGUGAAUCUUUUCCUCUGAUGCCUUAGGCAGAUUACCACAUUUCAUGCCUUCUUAACAACUUAUUCCACAUCUGAGUCUGCUUUUUAAAUGUGUCGUUGAUAAGAGUCCUGGCUUAGAAGUCAGACUGCCCAGGAUCCAAAUUCCUGUCUGGUUCUUAAGCUGUGAGACUUUGAGUGAACUACAUGGUGCUCUGUCUGUUUCCAUACCUGUAAAGUGGGGUCAUAUGGUACCAACUUCACAGGAUUAUUGCAAGAAUUAAAUGAGGCACAACAUAGAAAGUGCUUAGCAUGGUGCCCGGCAUGCAGAGAAUGGUUAAGAAUAUCAUCUAUGAUUAAGGAUUGUUAUUGUCUCACUGGAGAAUGGAUGGACCAAUGAGAUUCUUUUGUUUCAAUGCUGUAGCAAACACCAAGCCUGCAUGGUUAUAAAACGUAGAUAUAGUGUCAGAGACAAACAGUCAUUGUCAACAAAACCAUCUGUCAGUGGAUUAAGCAAAUCCAAACAUAAGAGCCUUUUCUGUUUUCAAGGCACCAGGUAACAUACAUUAAUUAUGUGGACAGAAACAUCACAGGUACUAAGUCAACAUAAAUCAUCAUUUUGCAUUAA